Molecule: ribosomal RNA, 253 nt
Filed under: uncultured bacterium
Lineage: Bacteria
Description: partial 16S ribosomal RNA
Rfam family: Bacterial small subunit ribosomal RNA
Source: RNAcentral
UACGAAGGGGGCUAGCGUUGCUCGGAAUCACUGGGCGUAAAGCGCACGUAGGCGGGUUCUUAAGUCAGGGGUGAAAUCCUGGAGCUCAACUCCAGAACUGCCUUUGAUACUGGGAAUCUCGAGUCCGGGAGAGGUGAGUGGAACUGCGAGUGUAGAGGUGAAAUUCGUAGAUAUUCGCAAGAACACCAGUGGUGAAGGCGGCUCACUGGCCCGGUACUGACGCUGAGGUGCGAAAGCGUGGGGAGCAAACAGG